Molecule: ribosomal RNA, 421 nt
Filed under: uncultured bacterium
Lineage: Bacteria
Description: bacterial SSU rRNA
Rfam family: Bacterial small subunit ribosomal RNA
Source: RNAcentral
UAAGGAAUAUUGGUCAAUGGACGCAAGUCUGAACCAGCCAUGCCACGUGAAGGAUGAAGGUCCUCUGGAUUGUAAACUUCUUUUAUCUGGGACGAAAACGGGAUUUUUAUCUCAAUUGACGGUACCAGAGGAAUAAGCACCGGCUAACUCCGUGCCAGCAGCCGCGGUAAUACGGAGGGUGCGAGCGUUAUCCGGAUUUACUGGGUUUAAAGGGUGCGUAGGUGGGCUUAUAAGUCAGUGGUGAAAUCUCCGAGCUUAACUUGGAAACUGCCGUUGAUACUAUAGGUCUUGAAUUAUCUGGAGGUAAGCGGAAUAUGUCAUGUAGCGGUGAAAUGCUUAGAUAUGACAUAGAACACCAAUUGCGAAGGCAGCUUACUACAUAUAAAUUGACGCUGAGGCACGAAAGCGUGGGGAUCAAACA